RNAcentral lists this ribosomal RNA (497 nucleotides) under uncultured bacterium. RNAcentral describes it as "partial 16S ribosomal RNA". It matches the Rfam family "Bacterial small subunit ribosomal RNA", at positions 28 to 507 of the family's 1533-position model. The record is from RNAcentral.
GAUGAACGCUGGCGGCGUGCCUAAUACAUGCAAGUCGAGCGAAAAGACGCGGCGUUUGUUCCUUUCACGUUAGCGGAGGACGGGUGAGAAACAUGUGGAUAACGUCCCUAUCAGACUGGGAUAAUCACGGGACACCGGAGAAUACACCGGAUAAUCUCUUGAACCGUGUGGUGCAAUAGUGAAAGACGGCUUUGGUGUCUCUUAUCGAUGGAUCCGCGCCGGAUUAGCUAGUUGGUAAGGUAACGGCUUACCAAGGCAACGAUGCGUGGCCGACCUGAGAGGGGGGUCGGCCACACGGGAGCUGAGACGCGGUCCAUGCUCCUGCGGUAGGCAGCAGUAGGGAAUCUUCCGCAAUGGUCGAAAGCCUUGCGGAGCAACGCGAAGUGUGUUAUGAAGAUCUUCGGAUCGGGAAACUCUGUUAUGAGUGAAGAACAAAUGUGGAAGUAACUAUGCACUUCUUGACGGUACUUAAUCAGAAAGCCACGGCUAACUACGUG